CUACGGAGGGUGCAAGCGUUACUCGGAAUCACUGGGCGUAAAGGACGCGUAGGCGGGUUGUCAAGUCUGAUGUGAAAUCCUAUGGCUCAACCAUAGAACUGCAUUGGAAACUGGCAACCUAGAGUAUGGGAGGGGGAGAUGGAAUUAGUGGUGUAGGGGUAAAAUCCGUAGAUAUCACUAGGAAUACCGAAAGCGAAGGCGAUCUCCUGGAACAUAACUGACGCUAAGGCGUGAAAGCGUGGGGAGCAAACGGGAUUAGAAACCCUAGUAGUCC
RNAcentral lists this ribosomal RNA (274 nucleotides) under uncultured bacterium. Its description in RNAcentral is "partial 16S ribosomal RNA". It matches the Rfam family "Bacterial small subunit ribosomal RNA", at positions 523 to 796 of the family's 1533-position model. The record is from RNAcentral.